CAGGCCCUGAAGGUCCACGCGAGGUGAGUGCAGGCAGCCUCAGGGCUUUCACAUCAGCACGUGGCUGUGCUACUGGGACAUCCCAGUACCGCUAUCCCAGCUGGGACCCUUCCCUGAGCUGGGGACCAUGGACAGGUUUUGUUUUUCUUCUUCCUGCCUUCCAGCAAACCGGCCUCUGAGGUGAUCAAUGAAUAUUCCUGGAAGGUGGAUUUUCUGAAGGGGAUGCUGCAAGCCGAGAAGCUGACCUCCUCCUCAGAGAAAGCACUGGCCAACCAGUUCCUGGCCCCUGGCCGUGUGCCAACCACAGCCAGAGAGCGAGUGCCCGCCACAAAGACGGUGCAUCUGCAGUCACGGGCGCGGUACACCAGCGAGAUGCGGAGUGAGCUACUAGGCACGGACUCUGCAGGUGAGUCACCAUGAACACAACAGGACUUGAGGGCCAGCUGACUAGGACAAGACAUGUAUCCUUGCUGCCCCGGGGCCUCCAUGCCGAGACUCCAUGCCCUGACUCCAACAGGAGCAUCACCAAAUUACACCUGGAGGAAGAGCCAGGACAGAGGAAAUGGCCCCGAGAGGAAACAAAGCUAGGCACAGUGGCUCACACCUGUAAUUUC
Molecule: small RNA, 614 nt
Filed under: Pan troglodytes (chimpanzee)
Lineage: Eukaryota; Metazoa; Chordata; Mammalia; Primates; Hominidae
Description: retained intron
Source: RNAcentral